This 506-nucleotide ribosomal RNA is filed under the name uncultured bacterium. Its description in RNAcentral is "bacterial SSU rRNA". It matches the Rfam family "Bacterial small subunit ribosomal RNA", at positions 18 to 518 of the family's 1533-position model. The record is from RNAcentral.
CCUGGCUCAGGAUGAACGCUAGCGACAGGCCUAACACAUGCAAGUCGAGGGGCAGCACAAGGAGCAAUCUGAGGUGGCGACCGGCGCACGGGUGAGUAACACGUAUGCAACCUGCCUGUAAGCGGGGAAUAACCCGUUGAAAGACGGACUAAUACCGCAUAAUACUAAAUUACUGCAUGGUAAUUUAUUUAAACAUUUAUGGCUUACAGAUGGGCAUGCGCAUGAUUAGCUAGUUGGAGAGGUAACGGCUCCCCAAGGCAACGAUCAUUAGGGGUUCUGAGAGGAAGGUCCCCCCACACUGGUACUGAGACACGGACCAGACUCCUACGGGAGGCAGCAGUGAGGAAUAUGGUCAAUGGACGAGAGUCUGAACCAGCCAAGUCGCGUGCAGGAAGAAUUGUCCUAUGGAUUGUAAACUGCUUUUGCAGGGGAAUAAAGUGCAUCACGUGUGAUGUUUUGUAUGUACUCUGCGAAUAAGGAUCGGCUAACUCCGUGCCAGCCGCCGC